UGGGGAAUAUUGCACAAUGGGCGCAAGCCUGAUGCAGCCAUGCCGCGUGUAUGAAGAAGGCCUUCGGGUUGUAAAGUACUUUCAGCGGGGAGGAAGGGAGUAAAGUUAAUACCUUUGCUCAUUGACGUUACCCGCAGAAGAAGCACCGGCUAACUCCGUGCCAGCAGCCGCGGUAAUACGGAGGGUGCAAGCGUUAAUCGGAAUUACUGGGCGUAAAGCGCACGCAGGCGGUUGAUUGAGUCAGAUGUGAAAUCCCCGGGCUUAACCCGGGAAUUGCAUCUGAUACUGGUCAGCUAGAGUCUUGUAGAGGGGGGUAGAAUUCCAUGUGUAGCGGUGAAAUGCGUAGAGAUGUGGAGGAAUACCGGUGGCGAAGGCGGCCCCCUGGACAAAGACUGACGCUCAGGUGCGAAAGCGUGGGGAGCAAACGGG
This 429-nucleotide ribosomal RNA is filed under the name Chloroflexota bacterium. RNAcentral's name for it is "Chloroflexi bacterium partial 16S ribosomal RNA". It matches the Rfam family "Bacterial small subunit ribosomal RNA", at positions 355 to 776 of the family's 1533-position model. Lineage: Bacteria; Bacillati; Chloroflexota. The record is from RNAcentral.